Molecule: ribosomal RNA, 490 nt
Filed under: uncultured bacterium
Lineage: Bacteria
Description: partial 16S ribosomal RNA
Rfam family: Bacterial small subunit ribosomal RNA
Source: RNAcentral
AUUGAACGCUGGCGGCAGGCCUAACACAUGCAAGUCGAGCGGGGGUAGCAAUACCCUAGCGGCGAACGGGUGAGGAAUGCUUGGGAAUCUGCCUGGUAGUGGGGGAUAACGUUCCGAAAGGAACGCUAAUACCGCAUACGUCCUACGGGAGAAAGGGGGGGAUCUUCGGACCUCUCGCUAUCAGAUGAGCCCAAGCGGGAUUAGCUAGUUGGUGGGGUAAAGGCCCACCAAGGCGACGAUCCCUAGCUGGUCUGAGAGGAUGAUCAGCCACACUGGAACUGAGACACGGUCCGGACUCCUACGGGAGGCAGCAGUGGGGAAUAUUGGACAAUGGGCGAAAGCCUGAUCCAGCCAUGCCGCGUGUGUGAAGAGGGCCUUCGGGUUGUAAAGCACUUUAAGCGAGGAGGAAGGUUCGUUACUUAAUACGUAACGGAAUUGACGUUACUCGCAGAAUAAGCACCGGCUAACUCUGUGCCAGCCGCCGCCGUAA